Molecule: unclassified non-coding RNA, 300 nt
Filed under: Rickenella sp.
Lineage: Eukaryota; Fungi; Basidiomycota; Agaricomycetes; Hymenochaetales; Rickenellaceae
Description: partial contains small subunit ribosomal RNA, internal transcribed spacer 1, and 5.8S ribosomal RNA
Rfam family: Eukaryotic small subunit ribosomal RNA (bases 1-46)
Source: RNAcentral
AAGUCGUAACAAGGUUUCCGUAGGUGAACCUGCGGAAGGAUCAUUAACGAGUUUGAAGUGGGUUUGAUGCUGGCCUGGUAAUACAGGCAUGUGCUCGCCCCGCUCAUCCACUCAACACCUGUGCACCUUCGAGGCAUUGCCCUCCACGCAAGUGGAGCCGUUCCCUUUUGAUCUUUUUUGAUCGAAGGGUUGAGCCGGGGCUUUGCUCUCGCUUUAACAUACACCACUAAAAGUUCAGUAGAAUGUAACCGCCGUCAUGGCAAAAAAUUAAUACAACUUUCAACAACGGAUCUCUUGGCU